Gasterosteus aculeatus aculeatus (three-spined stickleback) is the source of this 1105-nucleotide non-coding RNA. The record is from RefSeq and is a predicted model, not a curated record. Lineage: Eukaryota; Metazoa; Chordata; Actinopteri; Perciformes; Gasterosteidae.
GCACUCCACGGUGCCUACAGUGCUCAGCACUGUCAUCAUGACCCCAAAAGAGCCCGAGUCACUACCUGUGUGUGCAUACGGGUCACAGUAUCGACUGCCGGAGAUCCUCGGCCUGUUUCCCCGUGGGGGGGGGAAACGUGUUCUGCUCAGUCAGCUGAGAAGGGGGCAGACUGAGGAAUGUGGGCCGGCGAGCGAGGAGCUGACAGGCCGACGCCCCCUCAUCUAUAAAGCUUUAAUACUAGUUAUUAAUCUUGCCCAAAGCAACAACGUGCAUUUAAAUAACAGCAGGACGCACGAACCUCGUCCUCCGUAUUCCACCACAGGGGGGCCGUAAAUCACCCCGGCUGCUUGGCAGGAGUCGUGGAUCAUCGCACAAUGGUUAAUUAAAGCCGGAUCAAUCCCGGUGCCACCGGUUCUUUCUCUACGCCGCGUCUACAGAGAGCAGUCCCACGGCCGAGGAGGAGGAGGAGGAAGAGGAGGAGGAGGAGGCCUGUGAUGUUUGCUCGGAGCUAGAAAAAAGAGGCUGCCACUCAUAUUUGUACAGAGGACAAAGCCACGCUGGCCCUCUGGCACCGUAUGAAAGACGUGUUUUCACAGCGCGUACAGCAAAUACAACUGUCCUUUUUUCUUCUUCGUCUUCUUCUUCUUCUUCUUCUUCUCCUCCUCGCUUUUCCAAAUGCCGUCGCCAAAUUUUAGAAGAGUGAGUUUUGUGCCGGUUGCCGUGACGACUGGUCGGGGCAGUGAAGAUGGUCCGGGGGCAGCCGAGGUCACAGCUCGUAUCGGAUGUCCUCGGCAGCUAAACAGGAGAACAUCGGUACAAGUCGACACUUAUUCAACAGAUCAAACACUCCUCAAGGAUGACAUGGUUGCCAUUGUACGUAUCUGCCAAUACAAAAAAGGCUUUUUGAAACCACUGGAAAGCUGUAAGAAGUUAUGAAUAUUUAAUGAUGCUUUUUGUUGACAAGCAAAACUAGAUUUUUCCCCAAUGAGUCCAGAGCCGCGCAGCAGUGAUGUCAGCGAGCCCGUUCGUUUCUUCCAUUCCUCUGUAUGCGGCCAAGACUUUUUCAUAGAGCAGACAUGAAAUGAAGCGGGGGGGGAGGGAUGA